Alligator mississippiensis (American alligator) is the source of this 164-nucleotide small nuclear RNA. RefSeq annotates it as U1 spliceosomal RNA. The transcript has a single exon. Lineage: Eukaryota; Metazoa; Chordata; Crocodylia; Alligatoridae. The record is from RefSeq and is a predicted model, not a curated record.
AUGCUUACCUAGCAGGGGUAUACCAUGCUCACGUAAAUGGUGUACCCAGGGCAAGGCUUGACCCCUAGCACUCCGGGCUUGCUGAGCUCUGCGAUUUUCCGAAAAACGGGAAACUCGACUGCAUAAUUUCUGGUAGUGGGGGACUGCGUGCACGCUCUCCCCUG